AUUGAACGCUGGCGGCAUGCUUUACACAUGCCAGUCGGACGGCAGCACAGAGAAGCUUGCUUCUUGGGUGGCGAGUGGCGAACGGGUGAGUAAUAUAUCGGAACGUACCGAGUAAUGGGGGAUAACUAAUCGAAAGAUUAGCUAAUACCGCAUAUUCUCUGAGGAGGAAAGCAGGGGACCUUCGGGCCUUGCGUUAUUCGAGCGGCCGAUAUCUGAUUAGCUAGUUGGUGGGGUAAAGGCCUACCAAGGCGACGAUCAGUAGCGGGUCUGAGAGGAUGAUCCGCCACACUGGGACUGAGACACGGCCCAGACUCCUACGGGAGGAAGCAGUGGGGAAUUUUGGACAAUGGGUGCAAGCCUGAUCCAGCCAUGCCGCGUGUCUGAAGAAGGCCUUCGGGUUGUAAAGGACUUUUGUCAGGGAAGAAAAGGCUGUUGCUAAUAUCAAUAGCUGAUGACGGUACCUGAAGAAUAAGCACCGGCUAACUACGUG
This 490-nucleotide ribosomal RNA is filed under the name uncultured bacterium. Its description in RNAcentral is "partial 16S ribosomal RNA". It matches the Rfam family "Bacterial small subunit ribosomal RNA", at positions 30 to 507 of the family's 1533-position model. The record is from RNAcentral.